This 1514-nucleotide unclassified non-coding RNA is filed under the name Leishmania donovani. RNAcentral's name for it is "gene:LdHU3.36.2280(CDS-product:universal_minicirc le_sequence_binding_protein_putative)". Lineage: Eukaryota; Euglenozoa; Kinetoplastea; Trypanosomatida; Trypanosomatidae. The record is from RNAcentral.
UAACGUACAUUCUUUAAAGUUUUCUCUAGGCUCACCUUCACACCUUUUGUUGCUUCUGCCUUCUGUCUUUCGCAUUCUCUCUCCUCCGUCUGUCAUCGAGCACCACCAGUACCACUGCCCCACCUUUCCAUCCUACUUGAUACCCCGCAAUCAUGUCCGAAACCGAAGACGUCAAGCGUCCGCGCACCGAGAGCAGCACCAGCUGCCGCAAUUGCGGUAAGGAGGGCCAUUACGCCCGCGAGUGCCCCGAGGCCGACUCCAAGGGUGACGGGCGCAGCACGACGUGCUUCCGCUGCGGCGAGGAGGGCCAUAUGACCCGCGAGUGCCCGAACGAGGCUAGAUCCGGCGCCGCUGGAGCCAUGACGUGCUUCCGCUGCGGCGAGGCCGGCCACAUGAGCCGUGACUGCCCCAACUCCGCGAAGCCGGGUGCGGCCAAGGGCUUCGAGUGCUACAACUGCGGCCAGGAGGGUCAUCUCAGUCGUGACUGCCCCAGCAGCCAGGGUGGAAGCCGCGGUGGGUACGGCCAGAAGCGCGGCCGCAGCGGCGCGCAGGGCGGCUACGGUGGCGAUCGCACGUGCUACAAGUGCGGCGACGCCGGCCACAUCAGCCGUGACUGCCCCAACGGUCAGGGCGGGUACAGCGGCGCGGGUGACCGCACUUGCUACAAGUGCGGCGACGCCGGCCACAUCAGUCGUGACUGCCCCAACGGUCAGGGCGGUUACAGCGGCGCGGGUGACCGCAAGUGCUACAAGUGCGGGGAGUCGGGCCACAUGAGCCGCGAAUGCCCCAGCGCCGGGAGCAAUGGCAGCGGUGACCGCACGUGCUACAAGUGCGGCAAGCCUGGCCACAUCAGCCGCGAGUGCCCGGAGGCCGGUGGCAGCUAUGGCGGUUCCCGCGGCGGCGGUGACCGCACGUGCUACAAGUGCGGCGAGGCCGGCCACAUCAGCCGUGACUGCCCCAGCAGCUAAAGCGAAACGAAAAAGCUGAAAGUAUGAACGAAACGGGUGUUCUGAGUGGAAUGCAAGAGUUUCACAUAAGCAGAUAAGGUGACGAAGAAGCGUGCGCGGAUGCAAGGGGUGACGUGCAGCCAUGAGUGAACGAAAAGCCAGCGAUGACAAAGGCGGAGUGGAGGCAAUCUAAAGCGAACUGCGUGCGUGUGUUGCGGGGGAGAGGGAAGGGGGGAGGGGAUUGCUGUGUUAUAUACAAACAGUAGAGCAUGUCAUGUAGUGACGCCAUGGCGCUUGAAAACAGGUGAGAGAGCCGCAUAUGUGUGCUCGUCUCCCUCUCUGUUUUUCUCUGUUGCCUUCUCACACCUGCUUCCCCUUCCCUUGCCGUCCUCCACCCCCUCCAUCCUCUCUCCAUCUCUCGUCCUCUGUUACGGGCCUUUGCUGCUGCUGCUCCUCCUCCGCCCCGCUUCGAAGCGAGAGAUGAAAACGAGAAUGAAGCGAACGAUGACCGGUCCACUGCACCGCCUUCACCUUUCCGCUCCUCCACGACCUUUUGAUGGCUAGUAG